Molecule: transfer RNA, 84 nt
Filed under: Bacteroidales bacterium OttesenSCG-928-C19
Lineage: Bacteria; Pseudomonadati; Bacteroidota; Bacteroidia; Bacteroidales
Description: tRNA-Leu
Rfam family: tRNA
About the family: Transfer RNA (tRNA) molecules are approximately 80 nucleotides in length. Their secondary structure includes four short double-helical elements and three loops (D, anti-codon, and T loops).
Source: RNAcentral
GCCCGAAUGGCGGAAUUGGUAGACGCACUGGACUCAAAAUCCAGCGAGGUUAAACUCGUGCCGGUUCGACUCCGGCUUCGGGUA